Carassius gibelio (silver crucian carp) is the source of this 371-nucleotide long non-coding RNA. RefSeq lists it as uncharacterized. NCBI's taxonomy places the organism in Eukaryota, Metazoa, Chordata, Actinopteri, Cypriniformes, Cyprinidae. The transcript is spliced from 3 exons. The record is from RefSeq and is a predicted model, not a curated record.
AGGCGCCGCCUUGGUGGUGGCAUUAGCUGCGGGAUUGUCCGCCUGAGGCGCCGCCUUGGUGGUGGCAUUAGCUGCGGGAUCGUCUGCCUGAGGCGCCACCUUGGUGGUGGCAUUAGCUGCGGGAUCGUCCGCCUGAGGCGCCGCCUUGGUGGUGGCAUUAGCUGCGGGAUCGUCUGCCUGAGGCGCCACCUUGGUGGUGGCAUUAGCUGCGGGAUCGUCCGCCUGAGGCGCCGCCUUGGUGGUGGUGGCGUUAGCGGAGGGAUCGUCCGCCUGAGGCGCCGCCUUGGUGGUGGUGGUGGCGUUAGCGGAGGGAUCGUCCGCCUGAGGCGCCGCCUUGGUGGCAUUAGCUGCGGGAUCGUCUGCCUGAGGCG